RNAcentral lists this long non-coding RNA (2028 nucleotides) under Salmo salar (Atlantic salmon). RNAcentral describes it as "lncRNA (ENSSSAG00000111219.1)". Lineage: Eukaryota; Metazoa; Chordata; Actinopteri; Salmoniformes; Salmonidae. The record is from RNAcentral.
UUCUGUUACAAGACAGUUUCAGAGAACAGAUGAUCUUUUACAGGGUGAAGCAGCACGUUGUGGAACAGCAUUGCAGGAACAGAACAAUGUACAGUAUUGUCUUGUUUAAUUCUUAUUGCUUGAUGAGGUACUGUAUUGUUGUCGUUUAUUCAUUAUACUAGCUACUAUAUAAAACACUGGCAAAUCAUACAACAUGUAAUAGUAUAAUAUAACAUACAUAAUAACAUGUAAUAGUAUACCCGUUUUCAGACAGAUAAAUAAACAAAGAACAAGUACAUACACACUAAGGCAGUAAUCUGUCUCUCUCUCUCCUCUCCUCUCUCUCUCUCUGUCUCUCUCUCUCUCUCUCCUCUCCUCUCCCUCUCUCUCUGUCUCUCUCUCUCUCUCCUCUCCCUCUCUCUGUCUCUCUCUCUCUCUCUUCUCCCUCUCUCUCUGUCUCUCUCUCUCCUCUCCCUCUCUCUGUCUCUCUCUCUCUCUCCUCUCUCUGUCUCUCUCUCUCUCUCUCCUCUCCCUCUCUCUCUGUCUCUCUCUCUCCUCUCCCUCUCUCUGUCUCUCUCUCUCUGUCUCUCUCUCUCCUUCUCCCUCCUCUUCUCUCUCCUCUUCUCUCUCUCUCCUCCCCCCAUCUCUCUCUAUCUCUCUCUCCUUCAUAUCAUUAGAGUACAGAACAUGAUGUCACAUUAAAAGCCUAACAGACACAUCUCUCAAGAGUACAGUACUUCCUUUUAACAGUGUUUCAACAGAUAAUAACCACUUGAACACUUGGAAACUAUUUGAACUUAGUCAUGUAUCAUGACUCACUACUUAAUGACCAUGUAAGAACAAUGAGUUACCACAGAUCUACAUGGUUAUUUGAUGAGAAAAGGCACUGUGUAAUUGUUAUAACAGCUGUUGGAUCAUCUUCCUGCUGGUGAUGCCGACAUACAUUUAUACUAUACUUCAAAUAGAAACGCCCCUAUAGCUGUGUACCCCUAUGCAACUAAACAACCAUUCAUAUAUAAUCCCACAUAUAAUCCCAUAUGAUAUCAGGGUUAUUCCCCAAAGAAUGUAAGAGAGGCGCUUUGCUCAGCAGCACCACCUUGUUAAAUAAAAUCCUGUUGAGAACCCUGGUAUCUAAUAUUGUUUUGUUGUCGUGGAUUAUAAUGAUAUUUUUCUUUGUUCCCUACAUGCUAGUCUUGUCACCCUUCUCCCUAAGGCUUUUCGUAAACAACACUUCAGCUCUUCUUUGCUUCUUGACUUUUGUCAUUAGAACCUUUUACCUGGUCUCUGUUCUCUUUCCCUGUUUCUUCCUCUUCACUGGAAUCGGAUUCCGAUUCUCCCUCCCCAUUUCUCUCCUCUUCGUCACCCCCCUCUCCUUUCUCCUUUGCAGACUUGUCUGUUUUGGCAUCGUUUUUUGAAGUAGCUGCAUCAUCCUUCUCCUCCUUUUUACCUCCAUCCUUCUCUCCCUUCACCGCUCUAUCUUCUCCUGUCUCUGAAGCAUCACCCUCCAUCAUUUUUUUCACUUCCUCCCUCCUCUGUCUCAGAAUCUGUCUCAGUUCCAGGUUCCUUGUCUACUUCCUCCCUCCUCUGUCUCAGAGUCUGUCUCAGUUCCAGGUUCCUUGUCUACUUCCUCCCUCCUCUGUCUCAGAGUCUGUCUCAGUUCCAGGUUCCUUGUCUACUUCCUCCCUCCUCUGUCUCAGAAUCUGUCUCAGUUCCAGGUUCCUUGUCUACUUCCUCCCUCCUCUGUCUCAGAAUCUGUCUCAGUUCCAGGUUCCUUGUCUACUUCCUCCUCAUCUUUCUUUUCCACAUGGUAUGAUUCAUCUCAUCCUCCUCUAUCCACUUUCUCUUUCUCCUCUUUUCCAUCUGUUGAACCUCCUCAGCUUUAGCCGGUGCCUCCUCCUCCUUCUCUCUCUCUCCUUCCCCUCUCCAUCCUUCAUUUCUCCAGGACCAGGUUCUCCAGACUUCCCUGUAGCUUGGUCUCCAGGCUCUUCUCCCCAACCACACUAUCUGAGUCCUCCUCUGUGGUCUUAGUAGACUCUUCCUUGUUAUCAU